UCUCAUCCUAUCUCCCUCCCUCACACUAAUCCUGACCCCCCUAUGGAAAGUGAUCUGCACCAAUCACUAAACCGAAACACUUCCUCUGUCUCUUCUCCCUUGUCAUCAAUACUCAAUCAACAGACAAUUAUCAUCCCCCUAGUAACCACAUUUUCACAUAGAAUUAGACCCCUACAUCAAUCAAACACAACUUCUCUACAGUUCAGCACACUUACAUACCACUCAAACCAUACAGAAUCAUUUCAGCAUUUAGAAAGAACAAAAACUUAAAGGACCUCCUCACCAAAGCAAGAUUCAGUAGUAAGCCACCACAAGACCUCAAACCUCAUAAUUUCCAUUUUCGACAGAUAAAGUUCAUUACAAAUAUACACAGCCACACAUCAGCAUCAGUACAAGAAUCCUAUUCAUUGAACACACAUAACACCAUUUAUAUCAUUACAUGUACACUUUGCAAUAAACAAUACAUUGGAGAAACCAAACACACCAUAGAAACCAGACUCAAACAACACCUGUAUAACAUUAAAAGGGCACACCUACAAACGGAACUCAUAACCCACUUCCAGGAGCACCCCAUCACUCACCUUACCAUAUCAGGGUUACAGUCACAUAUAGGCUGGACCUGUGGGCAGCGAAAGAGGGUAGAACGGGAGUGGAUCCAGCACCUACAGACAAUAACGCCAAAUGGCCUGAACGAGAGGUUUUAGAAAAUGGGUUUUAACAGACAGGAAAAUGGAUGGAGAAGAACAUGGUUUUAUUCAUAUUUUAUUUUUACUCUAUAUAUUUAUGGUUUGUUUGGUGUUAGUUUGGCACUUCCUCUUUUAGGUUUUUCCUUUCCUUUAACAAAACAAUAAAACCAUUUUAAAUGCACAAUAUGGCGUUUAUGUUCAUAUUUAACAACACUAUGGUUGAAUGAAUCUCUCACCACAUUGACUUCUGCACUGCCACCCAGAAAAAGAGGCAACUUGGAGCCUACCUCAGUUUAAUUUAUGAUCCUAGGAGGACAUCUACGGGCCUUUUUAAGUACUAC
This is a long non-coding RNA of Oncorhynchus tshawytscha (Chinook salmon), 1027 nucleotides long. The record is from Ensembl. NCBI's taxonomy places the organism in Eukaryota, Metazoa, Chordata, Actinopteri, Salmoniformes, Salmonidae.